Molecule: ribosomal RNA, 500 nt
Filed under: uncultured Myrionecta
Lineage: Eukaryota; Ciliophora; Litostomatea; Cyclotrichida; Mesodiniidae
Description: SSU rRNA
Rfam family: Eukaryotic small subunit ribosomal RNA
Source: RNAcentral
AUAGGUCCAAGAAUAAGCCAUGCACGUCUAAGUACAAACUAAAUGAUGGUGAAACUGCAAAUGGCUCAUUACAACGGUUAUGAUGUACCCGGGAGUUCCGAUGGAUAUUUCCAGUAUCACUAGAACUAAUACAUGUCCCUGCGUUUAUUAGUUUCGCACAGUCCGUCGCUGAGUCAUGGUAAACAGUUGAUCGACUCGACGUCCCGGAACAGUUUCCGCCCCAUCAGCUUCGAUGGUUGGGUAUUGGCCUACCAUUGCAACAACGGGUAACGAGGAAUUAGGGUUUGAUUUCGGAGAGGGAGCCUGAGAAACGGCUACCACAUCUACGGAUGGCAGCAGGCGCGCAAAUUACCCAAUGCAGACACUGUGAGGUAGUGACGAGAAAUAAUAAAGCGGGACUUCUGUUUCGCUAUUAUAAUGAGGAAUAACCAAAGGUCAUUCCGAUUAGCAACUGAUGGGAAAGUCUGGUGCCAGCAGCCGCGGUAAUACCAGCGUCAGUA